AUGGCGGGACAUCUUGCUUCUGACUUCGCCUUCUCGCCCCCGCCGGGAGGGUCAGAGCCGGGCUGGGUUGAUCCUCGGACCUGGAUGAGCUUUCAAGGGCCUCCCGGUGGGUCGGGGAUCGGGCCGGGGGUUGUGCCCAGCGCCUAGGUGUGGGGGCUUCCUCCGUGCCGCCCGCCCUAUGACUUGUGCGGAGGGAUGGCCUACUGUGUGCCGCAGGUUGGAGUGGGGCCCGUGCCCCCAGGAGGCCUGGAGACGCCUCAACCCGAGGGCGAGGCAGGAGCCGGGGUGGAGAGCAACUCUGAGGGGGCCUCCCCGGACCCCUGCGCCGUCCCGACAGGCGCCGCGAAGCUGGAGCCGAACCCUGAGGAGUCCCAGCACAUCAAAGCUCUUCAGAAAGACCUUGAACAAUUUGCCAAGCUCCUAAAGCAGGAGAGGAUCACCCUAGGAUAUACCCAGGCCUAUGUGGGGCUCACCCUGGGGGUUCUCUUUGGAAAGGUGUUCAGCCAAACGACUAUCUGCCGUUUUGAGGCUUUGCAGCUCAGUUUCAAGAACAUGUGUAAGCCGCGGCCCCUGCUGCAGAAGUGGGUGGAGGAAGCUAACAACGAGAUCUGCAGGAGAUAUGCAAGGCAGAGACCCUUGUGCAGGCCCGGAAGAGAAAGCGGACGAGUAUCGAGAACCGAGUGGGAGGCAACCUGGAGAGCAUGUUCCUGCAGUGCCCGAAGCCCACCCUGCAGCAAAUUAGCCACAUCGCCCAGCAGCUCGGGCUGGAGAAGGACGUGGUCCGAGUGUGGUUCUGCAACCGUCGCCAGAAGGGCAAACGAUCAAGCAGUGACUACUCCCAACGAGAGGAUUUUGAGGCUGCUGGGUCUCCUUUCGCGGGGGGACCCGUAUCCUUUCCUCUGGUGCCAGGGCCCCAUUUUGGUACCCCAGGCUACGGGGGCCCUCACUUCACUACACUGUACUCUUCGGUCCCAUUCCCUGAGGGUGAGGCCUUUCCCUCGGUGUCUGUCACCGCUCUGGGCUCUCCUAUGCAUUCAAACUGA
This is a non-coding RNA of Odocoileus virginianus texanus, 1043 nucleotides long. The record is from RefSeq and is a predicted model, not a curated record. NCBI's taxonomy places the organism in Eukaryota, Metazoa, Chordata, Mammalia, Artiodactyla, Cervidae.